UUUCAUUCACUUGAACAACUUUAUAGCAAUUGUUUUCUCUUCUCCUUCCUCUUUUUAUUCAUUUUUUUCCAAAGGAGUAUGUAUUGAAAUAUUACAAACAUAAUUCCUUUUUUUUCUUCCUCUUAUCCUUCUAUUUUUUUAUUCUUUUUUUUUCUUUUCUAUUUUCUUUUUCAAUUUUUUUUCUUUUUCUGCCAUCUUCUGAAAUAUUA
Molecule: long non-coding RNA, 209 nt
Filed under: Lathyrus oleraceus (garden pea)
Lineage: Eukaryota; Viridiplantae; Streptophyta; Magnoliopsida; Fabales; Fabaceae
Description: Pisum sativum (pea) long non-coding RNA (PSAT_LNC012985)
Source: RNAcentral